This 227-nucleotide ribosomal RNA is filed under the name uncultured Thauera sp. RNAcentral's name for it is "partial 16S ribosomal RNA". It matches the Rfam family "Bacterial small subunit ribosomal RNA", at positions 1160 to 1380 of the family's 1533-position model. The record is from RNAcentral. Lineage: Bacteria; Pseudomonadati; Pseudomonadota; Betaproteobacteria; Rhodocyclales; Zoogloeaceae.
AAACCGGAGGAAGGUGGGGGAUGACGUCAAGUCCUCAUGGCCCUUACUGGUAGGGCUUCGACACGUCAUACAAUGGUCGGUACAGAGGGUUGCCAAGCCGCGAGGUGGAGCCAAUCCCUUAAAGCCGAUCGUAGUCCGGAUCGUAGUCUGCAACUCGACUACGUGAAGUCGGAAUCGCUAGUAAUCGCAGAUCAGCAUGCUGCGGUGAAUACGUUCCCGGGUCCGUU